Ictalurus punctatus (channel catfish) is the source of this 916-nucleotide long non-coding RNA. The record is from Ensembl. NCBI's taxonomy places the organism in Eukaryota, Metazoa, Chordata, Actinopteri, Siluriformes, Ictaluridae.
UUCAGUUAGUUUCAGUGUGUAGUCACUGAUAGUUCAGUUCAGUGUGUAGUUCACUGAUAGUUCAGUUCAGUGUGUUAUUCACUGGUAGUUCGGUGUGUAGUUCACUGGUAGUUCGGUGUGUAGUUCACUGGUAGUUCGGUUUUGGAUGUAGUUCACUGGUAGUUCGGUGUGUAGUUCACUGGUAGUUCGGUGUGUAGUUCACUGGUAGUUCGGUGUGUAGUUCACUGGUAGUUCGGUUCAGUGAGUUGCGCUGUGUGUGUGUGUGUGUUGAGCUGUGUGUGUGUGUGUUGCACUGUGUGUGUGUGUUGCACUGUGUGUGUGUGUUGAGCUGUGUGUGUGUGUGUUGCACUGUGUGUGUGUGUUGAGCUGUGUGUGUGUUGCACUGUGUGUGUUGAGCUAAUCAGUCACAGGUGUUUGUGUGUUUCCAGGCAGUGUGUUAAUUAUUUUCUAUUCUAUUAAUAGCCUGUAAUCUGCACCCUGUUCAGAGUGAGGAACGUACUUUCACUCACACUCUCAGCUCAACACACACACACUCUCUCACACACACACACACACACACACACACACUCUCUCAGCUCAACACGCACACACACACACUCAGCUCAACUCGCGCACACACACACACACUCAGCUCAACUCGCACACACUCAGCUCAAAACACACUCUCUCGCACACACACACACACACACACACACACUCUCUCUCAGCUCAACACGUACACACACCACCACACUCUCAGCUCAACAUGCACACACACAAACACACACACUCUGCUCAACUCGCGCACACACACACACACACUCAGCUCAACAUGCACACACUUUAAUGUACUGCACUCAGGCUGCCGAAUAUUGUAAAAGCCAAUUAUUUGUUUAAUUCUCUGAACUCAUCUCUCAUAUAUAAGAAAGAUAAUACA